CACGCGCAUCUCCGGGAGAGAGAGACUUCGCUGUAUCACCGGCUGCGUCUCUGCCCAGGCAUCGUGUCGGAUGCCCACAGUUGAUGUCUACAUAGUCGUUUAAUUUAAACAGAGCGAGGCCACCUUUUUUAUUCGGUGUUUAGUCGUAUUUCACAUUCAGGAGUCAUCGCACUGGUUAUUCGGUCACAUUUGAAGGCUUCGCGUCCCGUAUCUUCUCGAGAGCUGUGCUAAGCAUUGUCGGCGGGGCUGGUCGCAAGAGAGAGAAGAGACUCCGUUUUAGAUUUGGAAUGAGAGAAUAAGAUGAAUUGAUAGCUUUUUGCAGUUUGAAAAUUAAAACAAAAAAUUGUUAAUUUCAAGGAAAAUUCCAACGGAAAAAUCUACUCGACAGUUUUUGUCAGAAAGGACCGAUUCAAAUUGCAGCAUACUCAAGGGAAAGUAUAGGAUCAUUUCCAACUAUUUGGAUGCGGACAUUUCACAGGAGAGCGCGCCAAAGCCCUAUGUGACUGGCAGGCUUUUUAUGAAGGAUAUAAUCUUUCGCCAACAGAAAACCAUGUCGUCCAGUGGGCUGUAAUGGAACAUCGUAUGUAGUUAUUUGAUCUUUGUCAUUGCUCCUUUUAAUUGGCAGGGCAAGGGGCAAGUAACAUUUUAUUGCCAAUCUUACAAAACGGUUGCCGUUUUUCUUCACGUUAAAGGCAACGGACAUAGGCAUUGUCAGGCGAUUUCUUUUACCGAAGUGUGACUCACACCAAGGACAGACACUUAAAACCGUCGACUUAAGCUGAAGGUCCAGGUCGUCCAAUCACAGCCCUUGGUCUGCGUUGCUUGCUGGGAGUGACAGAUCCCAGAGAGAGGCAGGAGAGACAGUGAUCAAUCUCUGAGGUGCUGUAGAUCCCCCC
This is a long non-coding RNA of Hypomesus transpacificus, 896 nucleotides long. RefSeq lists it as uncharacterized. The record is from RefSeq and is a predicted model, not a curated record. The transcript has 3 exons. Lineage: Eukaryota; Metazoa; Chordata; Actinopteri; Osmeriformes; Osmeridae.